UACGUAGGGGGCUAGCGUUAUCCGGAAUUACUGGGGUAAAGGGUGCGUAGGUGGUUUCUUAAGUCAGAGGUGAAAGGCUACGGCUCAACCGUAGUAAGCCUUUGAAACUGGGAAACUUGAGUGCAGGAGAGGAGAGUGGAAUUCCUAGUGUAGCGGUGAAAUGCGUAGAUACUGGUAGGAACACCCAUUGCGAAGGCAGCUCGCUGGACAACACGUGACACUGAGGCGCGAAAGUGUGGGGAGCAAACCGGAUUAGAUACCCCGGUAGUCCCUGAGCGGG
RNAcentral lists this ribosomal RNA (280 nucleotides) under uncultured prokaryote. RNAcentral's name for it is "partial 16S ribosomal RNA". It matches the Rfam family "Bacterial small subunit ribosomal RNA", at positions 524 to 803 of the family's 1533-position model. The record is from RNAcentral.